Molecule: ribosomal RNA, 880 nt
Filed under: Microbacteriaceae bacterium MIDE07
Lineage: Bacteria; Bacillati; Actinomycetota; Actinomycetes; Micrococcales; Microbacteriaceae
Description: bacterial SSU rRNA
Rfam family: Bacterial small subunit ribosomal RNA
Source: RNAcentral
GUGGCGAACGGGUGAGUAACACGUGAGUAACCUGCCCUUGACUCUGGGAUAAGCGUUGGAAACGACGUCUAAUACCGGAUAUGACCUCCGACCGCAUGGUCUGGGGGUGGAAAGAAUUUUGGUCAAGGAUGGACUCGCGGCCUAUCAGGUAGUUGGUGAGGUAAUGGCUCACCAAGCCGACGACGGGUAGCCGGCCUGAGAGGGUGACCGGCCACACUGGGACUGAGACACGGCCCAGACUCCUACGGGAGGCAGCAGUGGGGAAUAUUGCACAAUGGGCGAAAGCCUGAUGCAGCAACGCCGCGUGAGGGAUGACGGCCUUCGGGUUGUAAACCUCUUUUAGUAGGGAAGAAGCGAAAGUGACGGUACCUGCAGAAAAAGCACCGGCUAACUACGUGCCAGCAGCCGCGGUAAUACGUAGGGUGCAAGCGUUGUCCGGAAUUAUUGGGCGUAAAGAGCUCGUAGGCGGUUUGUCGCGUCUGCUGUGAAAUCUGGGGGCUCAACCCCCAGCCUGCAGUGGGUACGGGCAGACUAGAGUGCGGUAGGGGAGAUUGGAAUUCCUGGUGUAGCGGUGGAAUGCGCAGAUAUCAGGAGGAACACCGAUGGCGAAGGCAGAUCUCUGGGCCGUAACUGACGCUGAGGAGCGAAAGCAUGGGGAGCGAACAGGAUUAGAUACCCUGGUAGUCCAUGCCGUAAACGUUGGGAACUAGAUGUAGGGGCCAUUCCACGGUUUCUGUGUCGCAGCUAACGCAUUAAGUUCCCCGCCUGGGGAGUACGGNCGCAAGGCUAAAACUCAAAGGAAUUGANGGGGCCCGCACAAGCGGCGGANCAUGCGGAUUAAUUCGAUGCAACGCGAAGAACCUUACCAAGGCUUGACAUA